This 468-nucleotide ribosomal RNA is filed under the name uncultured bacterium. RNAcentral describes it as "partial 16S ribosomal RNA". It matches the Rfam family "Bacterial small subunit ribosomal RNA", at positions 28 to 507 of the family's 1533-position model. The record is from RNAcentral.
GACGAACGCUGGCGGCGGGCUUAACACAUGCAAGUCGAACGGAAACGCCCUGCUUUUUUGGGGUUCUCGAGUGGCGAACGGGUGCGUAACACGUGAGUAACCUGCCCUUGUCUUUGGGAUAACUUCACGAAACUGGGGCUAAUACCGUAUAGGAUCUCCUGCUCCAUGGUGGGGGUUGGAUAUUUUCGGCGGUUGGGGAUGGACUCGCGGCUUAUCAGCUUGUUGGUGGGCUAGUGGCUUACCCAGGCUUUGACGGGUAGCCGGCCUGAGAGGGUGACCGGCGACAUUGGGACUGCGAGACGCCCCAGAGUCCUACGGGAGGCAGCAGUGGGGAAUCUUGCACAAUGGGCGGAAGCCUGAUGCAGCGGCGCCGCGGGUGGGAUGACGGCUUGCGGGUUGUAAAACGCAUCAGCUUAUGACGAAGCGUGAGUGACGGUAAUGGGUAAAGAAGCACCGGCUAACUUCGUG